RNAcentral lists this transfer RNA (62 nucleotides) under Liposcelis bostrychophila. Its description in RNAcentral is "tRNA-Leu". Lineage: Eukaryota; Metazoa; Arthropoda; Insecta; Psocodea; Liposcelididae. The record is from RNAcentral.
GGUGAUCUAGCAAAAAAUAGUGCAUUAAACUUAGAAUUUAAAGAUAGUCAAACUGUUCACUU